Molecule: transfer RNA, 68 nt
Filed under: Mycetomoellerius zeteki
Lineage: Eukaryota; Metazoa; Arthropoda; Insecta; Hymenoptera; Formicidae
Description: Trachymyrmex zeteki tRNA
Rfam family: tRNA
About the family: Transfer RNA (tRNA) molecules are approximately 80 nucleotides in length. Their secondary structure includes four short double-helical elements and three loops (D, anti-codon, and T loops).
Source: Rfam by way of RNAcentral
ACCUCUUUAACUCAUAGAUCACUGAUCUCGUAAAUCAGGGGUUGUGAGUUCAAUCCUCACAGGAGGCA